This 1542-nucleotide long non-coding RNA is filed under the name Linum usitatissimum (flax). Its description in RNAcentral is "long non-coding RNA (LUSI_LNC007796)". Lineage: Eukaryota; Viridiplantae; Streptophyta; Magnoliopsida; Malpighiales; Linaceae. The record is from RNAcentral.
CAAACCAACCCGCAAUCCAAUUCCUACCAAUAUCAACAAUCAAGUGAGAGGUCAAAAUGUGCAAUGAGAGAAAAUCCAAAUGGUAUUCCUUGGAAGGACAAACGAGGUAGGAGCCAUUGCUUACUUUCUUCGACCGUGUAGAAGUAAAUGCUUAAAACUCCUCCCAGUGUACCUGCACCUUUACAACUAUUACCGUCCUUUUCUCAAAACUAUUAAACAACAAAAAAAUUCUUUCCAAAGAAAAAAAAUUACCACCACCUCUAUAUAUCCCUCUAUUUUAUCUAUCUCACUUGUUACUUCUCUUCUGUGCAGCUCCUCGCAUCUCUCACUCAUCAACUCAUGUUUCCUCGACACAAGGCAUGUAAGUUAUACAGCAUAACACUGCUGCUAUUCAAAUAGCUGCCAUCUUUUCUUCAUUCUGUUGGGAAAAAUUCGAAACAUCCCUAUCUUCCUUCUUCUUCCCUCCAUACUCCAUCUAUUCUGGUUCUCUCCUGUUCUUCUUUACAUCCAAACAUACACUGCUUUCAUGGCUGUCUUCAGCAAAAACAUUCUUCUGGCAUUAGUGUUCCUGUUCUUACUUCUGCCUGGAGCUCAGUCAACAUCAGUCUCCGGAGAAGCAUAUCGUGACGAGCCAGCCACUCUCAGGAGCAGCCGUUCAUGGAGGAUUCACAACUACGUCAUUCACAUACAAAGGCACCAAAUUCACCAAUAUGCUUCGCAAGCUGCAAUUCGAACACGGGAUGAGAAACAAGGCACAGCAUCAAGUUUUGUUGCUGAAAACAGACUUGUCCCAACUGGGCCAAAUCCUCUCCAUAACUGAAGGAAAGCAGAUGCCAUACCAUUUCUCUCUCUCUGCUGGUCUUUUCCAGAGGCUUUGAUCAAAUGUCGUACAAGGCAAAGAGGAGGGUUGUACAGAAGAGAGAUACUUUUUGUAGUACUUGCUGCAUUGUGAGCUGUAGGAUAGGAAGAGGAGAUUCUGGGAGAUCAGAAGUCAUUAAAUUGAAAGGGUUAGUAAGGGGGGACAAUGAGGGGUAAAUGUGAUGAGCUUUUCUGUUGAUGGAUGCCAUGUAAGAGCAGAAACUGCACUCCCACAGUUCUGCCUUAAAUAUGUAUAUCAAUUAAUAUUCUGGUAUGGGUCUCUCUCCCACCCUUCUUUUCACCCAAAUAUGCUUAUGGUUUCUGGUCCCUACUGUCCCUUUUCAGCUUCUGCAAUUCCUCCAAGGCUAUAUAACACUUUUCUGAUCAUUCAAAGUAUGUUAAGAGAGUAACGCUACAGUUCAUAUAGGUUAUGAGCAUUCAUACUUUACCUUUCAUAUCUUCAGCACUUUUCGCUUCCUGCCUGUAUGCUUCGUUGGGUUUACUUGGAGGGAACAACUUGGUCACUUUCUAAGAGAGCUAGCAAAAAGUGGUCAGUCCAGUUUCCAAUCACAGUUCCAUUUUCAACCUAUUCCAGCAAAGCAUUUCUUCAUACGUUACCAACUCUAUAAAUGGCUCAGCAGGUAGAAAAGCUUAUACAAAAGUUGAUUUCCAAAUCUGAAGCAC